UACGUAGGGACCAAGCGUUGUUCGAAUUUACUGGGCGUAAAGGGCGCGUAGGCGGCGCGGUAAGUCACUUGUGAAAUCUCUGAGCUUAACUCAGAACGGCCAAGUGAUACUGCAGUGCUAGAGUGUGGAAGGGGCAAUCGGAAUUCUUGGUGUAGCGGUGAAAUGCGUAGAUAUCAAGAGGAACACCUGAGGUGAAGACGGGUUGCUGGGCCAACACUGACGCUGAUGCGCGAAAGCGAGGGGAGCAAACGGG
RNAcentral lists this ribosomal RNA (253 nucleotides) under uncultured bacterium. RNAcentral describes it as "partial 16S ribosomal RNA". It matches the Rfam family "Bacterial small subunit ribosomal RNA", at positions 524 to 776 of the family's 1533-position model. The record is from RNAcentral.